GGAAUAGGUCUGAGAUCUGGAGUGACAUUGAGGGGGAAUAGGUCUGAGAUCUGGAGUGACAUUGAGGGGGAAUAGGUCUGAGAUCUGGAGUGACAUUGAGGGGGAAUAGGUCUGAGAUCAGGAGUGACAUUGAGGGGGGGGAAUAGGUCUGACAUCUGGAGUGACAUUGAGGGGGAAUAGGUCUGAGAUCUGGAGUGACAUUGAGGGGGAAUAGGUCUGAGAUCUGGAGUGACAUUGAGGGGGAAUAGGUCUGAGAUCUGGAGUGACAUUGAGGGGGAAUAGGUCUGAGAUCAGGAGUGACAUUGAGGGGGAAUAGGUCUGAGAUCUGGAGUGACAUUGAGGGGGAAUAGGUCUGAGAUCUGGAGUGACAUUGAGGGGGAAUAGGUCUGAGAUCUGGAGUGACAUUGAGGGGGAAUAGGUCUGAUAUCAGGAGUGACAUUGAGGGGGAAUAGGUCUGAGAUCUGGAGUGACAUUGAGGGGGAAUAGGUCUGAUAUCUGGAGUGACAUUGAGGGGGGGAAUAGGUCUGAUAUCAGUAGUGACAUUGAGGGGGAAUAGGUCUGAGAUCUGGAGUGACAUUGAGGGGGAAUAGGUCUGAUAUCAGGAGUGACAUUGAGGGGGAAUAGGUCUGAGAUCUGGAGUGACAUUGAGGGGGAAUAGGUCUGAGAUCUGGAGUGACAUUGAGGGGGAAUAGGUCUGAGAUCUGGAGUGACAUUGAGGGGGAAUAGGUCUGAGAUCAGGAGUGACAUUGAGGGGGAAUAGGUCUGAUAUCAGGAGUGACAUUGAGGGGGAAUAGGUCUGAGAUCUGGAGUGACAUUGAGGGGGAAUAGGUCUGAGAUCAGGAGUGACAUUGAGGGGGAAUAGGUCUGAGAUCAGGAGUGACAUUGAGGGGGAAUAGGUCUGAGAUCUGGAGUGACAUUGAGGGGGAAUAGGUCUGAUAUCUGGAGUGACAUUGAGGGGGAAUAGGUCUGAGAUCAGGAGUGACAUUGAGGGGGAAUAGGUCUGAUAUCUGGAGUGACAUUGAGGGGGAAUAGGUCUGAGAUCAGGAGUGACAUUGAGGGGGAAUAGGUCUGAUAUCAGGAGUGACAUUGAGGGGGAAUAGGUCUGAGAUCUGGAGUGACAUUGAGGGGGAAUAGGUCUGAUAUCAGCAGUGACAUUGAGGGGGAAUAGGUCUGAGAUCUGGAGUGACAUUGAGGGGGAAUAGGUCUGAUAUCAGGAGUGACAUUGAGGGGGAAUAGGUCUGAGAUCAGGAGUGACAUUGAGGGGGAAUAGGUCUGAUAUCUGGAGUGACAUUGAAGGGGAAUAGGUCUGAUAUCAGGAGUGACAUUGAGGGGGAAUAGGUCUGAGAUCAGGAGUGACAUUGAGGGGGAAUAGGUCUGAGAUCAGGAGUGACAUUGAGGGGGAAUAGGUCUGAUAUCAGGAGUGACAUUGAGGGGGAAUAGGUCUGAGAUCAGGAGUGACAUUGAGGGGGAAUAGGUCUGAUAUCAGGAGUGACAUUGAGGGGGAAUAGGUCUGAGAUCUGGAGUGACAUUGAGGGGGAAUAGGUCUGAGAUCAGGAGUGACAUUGAGGGGGAAUAGGUCUGAGAUCAGGAGUGACAUUGAGGGGGAAUAGGUCUGAGAUCUGGAGUGACAUUG
Long non-coding RNA from Oncorhynchus masou masou (cherry salmon), 1633 nucleotides. RefSeq lists it as uncharacterized. The record is from RefSeq and is a predicted model, not a curated record. The transcript is spliced from 9 exons. NCBI's taxonomy places the organism in Eukaryota, Metazoa, Chordata, Actinopteri, Salmoniformes, Salmonidae.